Molecule: ribosomal RNA, 253 nt
Filed under: uncultured bacterium
Lineage: Bacteria
Description: partial 16S ribosomal RNA
Rfam family: Bacterial small subunit ribosomal RNA
Source: RNAcentral
UACAGAGGGUGCAAGCGUUAAUCGGAAUUAUUGGGCGUAAAGCGCAUGUAGGUGGUUUUGUAAGUUUGAUGUGAAAUCCCCGGGCUCAACCUGGGAAUGGCAUUGGAUACUGGCUCGCUAGAGUGCGGUAGAGGGUGGUGGAAUUCCCGGUGUAGCAGUGAAAUGCGUAGAGAUCGGGAGGAACAUCUGUGGCGAAGGCGGCCACCUGGACCAACACUGACACUGAGGCACGAAAGCGUGGGGAGCAAACAGG